This is a regulatory RNA element of Shewanella amazonensis SB2B, 54 nucleotides long. It matches the Rfam family "COG3860 RNA". The record is from Rfam. Lineage: Bacteria; Pseudomonadati; Pseudomonadota; Gammaproteobacteria; Alteromonadales; Shewanellaceae.
GGGUCUGCAGUUCACCCAGACAUCGCCGCGGCGUAAGCCGAGCUAAACCUGCCU